UGCCCACACCAAAGAAAUAGCCAACCAAAUGGCUUUAUCUUGAGAAAAACCAUACCUUUGAGAAAGAAAAAGGGAGAUUCGACUAGGAAGCAAAGGAAGAAAGGAAGAAAGAAAGAAAGAAUGGGAGAAAGGAGAAAGAAGAAAAGAGAAAGUGAAGGUUCCGCCUAGUGAACCUGAGACAAGGAAGAUAGUGAUCGACCUAGUGUGCAAUCAUCGAUGCUUAUGGUCCACUGUGGGUAGGUAAAGGCAUCUCAUAGUACUUUAUUUCGAGUCGCUCUGCUAAUAAAGGUCGAGUUAUCCAUAGCUUGAAGUAUUUGUAAAUAGUGUCAAUAUAAAUUCACAGUUAAAUACUACAGACUCUAAUGUAAUCUUACAAUUAUGGUGAAUAAAGGAUAAGUUGGUUUAUUAUGGUUUA
Molecule: long non-coding RNA, 415 nt
Organism: Theobroma umbraticum
Lineage: Eukaryota; Viridiplantae; Streptophyta; Magnoliopsida; Malvales; Malvaceae
Source: RefSeq, a predicted model, not a curated record